CCUGGUUUCCGUGUCUAACAUUUAAUCGUCCGUCUUAUUUAAAAAAAAUUAUGAAAAAAAAUUAAAAAUAUAAGCCACGCAUAAAGUAUUAAUCAUGUUUUAUCAUCUAACAACAACGAAAAUAAUAAUUAUAAAAAAAAUCAUAUAAGACAGACAGUUAAAUGUUGGCACGGGAACCCACAGUUUGUCUUUUU
RNAcentral lists this microRNA precursor (194 nucleotides) under Oryza rufipogon (brownbeard rice). Its description in RNAcentral is "MIR812 microRNA precursor family". It matches the Rfam family "MIR812 microRNA precursor family". The record is from Rfam by way of RNAcentral. Lineage: Eukaryota; Viridiplantae; Streptophyta; Magnoliopsida; Poales; Poaceae.